RNAcentral lists this non-coding RNA (26 nucleotides) under Mus musculus (house mouse). Lineage: Eukaryota; Metazoa; Chordata; Mammalia; Rodentia; Muridae. The record is from RNAcentral.
UGCUAAUUCUGGUUUACAACAGACUC